Molecule: ribosomal RNA, 273 nt
Filed under: uncultured bacterium
Lineage: Bacteria
Description: partial 16S ribosomal RNA
Rfam family: Bacterial small subunit ribosomal RNA
Source: RNAcentral
UACGAAGGGUGCAAGCGUUACUCGGAAUUACUGGGCGUAAAGCGUGCGUAGGUGGUGGUUUAAGUCUGCUGUGAAAGCCCUGGGCUCAACCUGGGAAUUGCAGUGGAUACUGGAUCACUAGAGUGUGGUAGAGGGAUGCGGAAUUUCUGGUGUAGCAGUGAAAUGCGUAGAGAUCAGAAGGAACAUCCGUGGCGAAGGCGGCAUCCUGGGCCAACACUGACACUGAGGCACGAAAGCGUGGGGAGCAAACAGGAUUAGAAACCCCCGUAGUCC